Molecule: long non-coding RNA, 690 nt
Filed under: Homo sapiens (human)
Lineage: Eukaryota; Metazoa; Chordata; Mammalia; Primates; Hominidae
Description: HSALNT0317679
Source: RNAcentral
UUGAGAGAGGUCAGCGUGAGCCCCUUGCCUCACACCGGCCCCUCCCACGCUGAGAGAGGUCAGUGUGAGCCCUUGCCUCACACCGGCCCCUCCCACGCGGACAGAGGUCAGCGUGAGCCCCUUGCCUCACACCGGCCCCUCCCACGCUGAGAGAGGUCAGUGUGAGCCCUUGCCUCACCCCGGCCCCUCCCACGUGGACAGAGGUCAGCGUGAGCCCCUUGUCUCACACCGGCCCCUCCCACGCUGAGAGAGGUCAGCGUGAGCCCCUUGCCUCACACCGGCCCCUCCCACGCGGACAGAGGUCAGCCCGAGCCCCUUGUCUCACACCGGCCCCUCCCAUGCUGAGAGAGGUCAGCGUGAGCCCCUUGUCUCACACCGGCCCCUCCCACGCUGAGAGAGGUCAGCCCGAGCCCCUUGCCUCACACCGGCCCCUCCCACGCUGAGAGAGGUGUGAGCCCCUUGUCUCACACCGGCCCCUCCCACGCGGACAGAGGUCAGCGUGAGCCCCUUGCCUCACCCCGGCCCCUCCCACGCUGAGAGAGGUCAGUGUGAGCCCUUGCCUCACACCGGCCCCUCCCACGCGGACAGAGGUCAGCGUGAGCCCCUUGCCUCACCCCGGCCCCUCCCACGCUGAGAGAGGUCAGUGUGAGCCCUUGCCUCACACCGGCCCCUCCCACGCGGACAGAGGUC